AAACAAAUGCCAAACUUUUUAUUAUAGAAUAUUCUCUAAGAUCAGUUUAAUUAUGUAUUUUAGGAUAUUGGUGCUGGAAAAGGCAAAUACUAUGCUGUCAAUUUUCCAAUGAGAGAUGGUAUAGAUGAUGAGUCAUAUGGGCAGAUAUUUAAGCCUAUUAUCUCAAAGGUGAUGGAGAUGUAUCAACCUAGUGCUGUGGUAUUACAGUGUGGUGCAGACUCAUUAUCUGGUGAUAGACUGGGUUGUUUCAAUCUAACAGUCAAAGGUCAUGCUAAAUGUGUAGAAGUUGUAAAAACUUUUAACUUACCAUUACUGAUGCUUGGAGGAGGUGGCUACACAAUCCGUAAUGUUGCUCGAUGUUGGACAUAUGAGACUGCAGUUGCCCUUGAUUGUGAGAUUCCCAAUGAGUUGCCAUAUAAUGAUUACUUUGAGUAUUUUGGACCAGACUUCAAACUGCAUAUUAGUCCUUCAAACAUGACAAACCAGAACACUCCAGA
RNAcentral lists this long non-coding RNA (497 nucleotides) under Homo sapiens (human). Its description in RNAcentral is "non-protein coding lnc-HS3ST5-11:1". The record is from RNAcentral. Lineage: Eukaryota; Metazoa; Chordata; Mammalia; Primates; Hominidae.